This is a non-coding RNA of Schizosaccharomyces pombe (fission yeast), 251 nucleotides long. NCBI's taxonomy places the organism in Eukaryota, Fungi, Ascomycota, Schizosaccharomycetes, Schizosaccharomycetales, Schizosaccharomycetaceae. The record is from the annotation of a GenBank genome assembly.
AGCAUUAAUUUUUCAAAUUUACGAAGUCGUUGGCUAAUUAUAACAUAACAUAUGAGCUAUAAGUUAUUUCAUGUUCUCGCUAAAUUGGAAAACCCGCAAACCGUCAGAUUAGAAAUUGUUGAGAUAAUAUUGCCCGGUGAAUGAAUCGAUCAAAAAAUGUUAAAGUGAUAAUAUAUAUUGAUUAAAACCAUUAUAUUGUACAUAGAAUCCUCACGACAUAAAUAUUUUCCGAUACUUGUCGUCAAAGUAAA